GCUCAGGAUGAACGCUAGCGGCAGGCUUAACACAUGCAAGUCGAGGGGCAGCGCGGGUGGCAACACCUGGCGGCGACCGGCGAAAGGGUGAGUAACACGUAUGCAACCUGCCCCCUACAGGGGGAUAAUCCAGAGAAAUUUGGUCUAAUACCCCGUAGUCAGCGAGAGGGCAUCCUCUUGCUGGGAAAGCUCCGGCGGUAGGGGAUGGGCAUGCGGCGCAUUAGCUAGUUGGCGGGGCAACGGCCCACCAAGGCUACGAUGCGUAGGGGUUCUGAGAGGAAGGUCCCCCACACUGGUACUGAGACACGGACCAGACUCCUACGGGAGGCAGCAGUGAGGAAUAUUGGACAAUGGCCGGAAGGCUGAUCCAGCCAUGCCGCGUGCGGGAAGGCGGCCCUAUGGGUUGUAAACCGCUUUUGCGGGGGAGCAAUAAGGUGCACGCGUGCACCGAUGAGAGUACCCUGCGAAUAAGCAUCGGCUAACUCCGUGCCAGCAGCCGCGGUAUAACGGAGGAUGCAAGCGUUAUCCGGAUUUAUUGGGUUUAAAGGGUGCGUANGCGGUUUGCUAAGCGGGAGGUGAAAUGCCGGCGCUCAGCGUCGGAAGUGCCUCCCGACCUGGUGGACUGGAA
This 628-nucleotide ribosomal RNA is filed under the name uncultured bacterium. RNAcentral's name for it is "bacterial SSU rRNA". It matches the Rfam family "Bacterial small subunit ribosomal RNA", at positions 22 to 646 of the family's 1533-position model. The record is from RNAcentral.